GUUGAGAGAUGGAGAGGAUCACUGAUCUGCGAACCUACAUAUACACGCACCAUCUCGCGACACGUUUACGGCAUGUGGAGUUGUGUGGGGAGUUUGCGCGAGUUCUCGGGCUUUAUUCGAUUAAAGAAAGCGCCUUUUCGGGGGAGUUGGGGCUGCAGAUUGCACUAUUGCAGGGUGUGUGUGUGUGAAGUAAACCGAUACUCGCUGGUCAGCCUUUGUCUUUGCAGGCCGCGAAUCGCCGAACCUCAAGCGCCCUUCAAAUGCCUAAAAUCAUGUGCGUUUGCCAAGAGACGGCUUUCCUGUGCAGCUGAAAAUUCAGACGACAGGAAUAAUUCAAAACCAUAUUCUGCACCGAUCCGAUUUGCUUCCAACAACUACACUUCGUGUUCGUAAACGUCAAGGUUCCAGCAAAGGAUAAAGGCUUGGAACGUGGAGCUCAUCCGACAUGCAUAUCUUGGUUUGAGUGCAGAUCAAGGUACUUUAAAAAGACAGGUAGCUUUAUCCAGAACAAAUCCCCGAUUUUAUUUUAGAAAAAACUUCAGAGUUUGACAUUCACGGGAUGGUGGGAUGUUUACUUCGGGAACGCUCUUUUCGGAGCUGUUUUCGCUUUUCCGUGGUAUUACGACAGUUAAAAUUCACGAAAAGUGGCAGGAAAGUUGAAGUUUAUGCAAAUAUUCCCAAAAUUCUUUCAAUAGUUUCAAUAUGGUAUCGGUCCGUAGGUCUUGCCACCCGGCCUAGAACAAGAGCUAGCUAGCGUUCCUGGACCGUGCUCACUCGCUGUAAAACACAACUCGGUCGCUCGAAUGAUCUUAAAUCGAGAGAUGAAUCAUUUAAACAUUCGAAAAAGAGUGAAAUCAAGUACUUUCCCUGAUAAAACCACCAAACUUGCCCACAUCUUCUUCUUCUUCUUCUUGAAACUCACGUGGUUUUGUUGAUAAAAAGCGCCCUGCUAUGAAUGUCAAACAAAUUGAAAAUGGUGACCUGUCAAAGCGGUUAAGAUGCUACCUGUCUUUUUAAAGUACCUUGGUGCAGAUGGACCUCAUCUGCAUCGACGUCAGAAGGAAACGGAAUCUAAACUAUUCGUGCUCCCACUGAGAGAGAUGAUUUGCAGUUGCACAUCUCGAAUGCACUCGGAAAUACGCACACGUUCACCUACUCGUUAGGCAAGGCACAUACGCUGAAUGACGAUUCAAGAAGACUACAACGAAUGUGUAUGAAAGUUCAAGUUUAUUGUUCCGAUAAUCGCCGUUUGUCAAUGAAAUUAUAUGUAAGGCACAAGAAGUGAUGGAUUAGGAUAUAAAAUGUAUUGUUUAGAAGGGAUCAUAUGUACUCCAGGUUGUAUUAGUAUAGUCCGGAUGCAACUACAUUCCUGCAACGGUUAUUAAUUAGAGACAUUGUAUUGAAAAAAUACGAUUGACGAUGAUUAUUAAUCUGCUACAAUGCCUCUCUCACACUAUUCGGUGUAUCGAGGUACGGUGUAUCUGAUGCUUUAGGUUGAUUAUCCUUUAAAAAAGGGGGCAUUAUCCUGAAAAGCAACAUUUUCGAGUCCCGAUAGUCCCAAUCAUUUACUACUCGUUAGUAUGAAUCGUCUUGAUAUAUACUUUAGGAUAAAAAAACAUAUGUAGUGCUUUCUUACAACAAAUAGGCACGAUUCGCAUAAGUUGAUACUCCGAGACAAGCAAUGAGCAGCAAUACGCACAAGCGGCAGCAGCAUAUCACAAAUCACUGAUUCAAAUUACUUACGGAGCAUAUUUGAACUGUUCAGCAACAUCUACAUCUCAAAUGAUUCAAGAGGUUGUAGAGUUGUAUCUUCGUCAAGUUGCCUAAUUUAAGGGGAUACAUAUUUGCAAAUUUAUCGGUUAAAUAAUCACUUUGGUUGUAUGGAAGAGGGGAGGAAGUAUAAGGCAUAUAUUAGACAUGUAAGCACAGAGAAAACGGUUGAUCUAUCCUGAAAGAUUCCUUUAUUUUUGGACGAAACUUGUACCAACAACAAAUUGAGAUUUAAGUGAUAAAUCCAAUGCAAUGAGCCAGAAACUUGAAAACAUCGUGAAGAAAGGUAAUAGGUAAGGAAGGGUGUUAUAACAUGCUUUGUUGUUAUAACAUCUCAUCCGAUUGAUCGGAAAUCUUUAUCUUGAGUAGAUUGUCUAUAUGGUAAUAUACCACUAAAU
Long non-coding RNA from Anopheles darlingi, 2168 nucleotides. RefSeq lists it as uncharacterized. The transcript is spliced from 3 exons. The record is from RefSeq and is a predicted model, not a curated record. Lineage: Eukaryota; Metazoa; Arthropoda; Insecta; Diptera; Culicidae.